RNAcentral lists this ribosomal RNA (1452 nucleotides) under uncultured bacterium. RNAcentral describes it as "partial 16S ribosomal RNA". It matches the Rfam family "Bacterial small subunit ribosomal RNA". The record is from RNAcentral.
AGGGUUUGAUCAUGGCUCAGAACGUACGCUGGCGGCACGCCUUAUACAUGCAAGUCGAACGAAGUAGCAAUACUUAGUGGCAGACGGGUGAGUAACAUGUGGGUAUCUUCCCUAUGGUGAGGAAUAACACGAGGAAACUUGUGCUAAUACCUCAUAAGUCUUUACGGAGAAAGCUUUAUGCGCCAUUGGAUGAGCCCGCACUUGAUUAGUUAGUUGGUGGGGUAAAAGCCUACCAAGACUUUGAUCAAUAGCUGAUUUGAGAGGAUGAUCAGCCACAUUGGGACUGAGACACGGCCCAAACUCCUACGGGAGGCAGCAGUAAGGAAUCUUGCACAAUGGAGGAAACUCUGAUGCAGCGAUGCCGCGUGAGUGAAGAAGGCCUUUGGGUUGUAAAGCUCUUUCGUCGGGGAAGAAAAUGACUGUACCCGAAUAAGAAGGUCCGGCUAACUUCGUGCCAGCAGCCGCGGUAAUACGAAGGGACCUAGCGUAGUUCGGAAUUACUGGGCUUAAAGAGUUCGUAGGUGGUUAAAAAAGUUGGUGGUGAAAUCCCAGAGCUUAACUCUGGAACUGCCAUCAAAACUUUUUAGCUAGAGUUUGAUAGAGGAAAGCAGAAUUUCUAGUGUAGAGGUGAAAUUCGUAGAUAUUAGAAAGAAUACCGAUUGCGAAGGCAGCUUUCUGGAUCAAUACUGACACUGAGGAACGAAAGCAUGGGUAGCGAAGAGGAUUAGAUACCCUGGUAGUCCACGCCGUAAACGAUGGGCACUAAGCGUCCGACGGGUUCGACCCUGUUGGGUGCUGCAGUUAACGCGUUAAGUGCCCCGCCUGGGGAGUACGGUCGCAAGACUAAAACUCAAAGGAAUUGACGGGGGCCCGCACAAGCGGUGGAGCAUGUGGUUUAAUUCGAUGCAACGCGAAAAACCUUACCUACUCUUGACAUACUUGGAAGCUCUUGUAAUAAGAGUGUGCCUUUUGGAGCCAAGAUACAGGUGCUGCAUGGCUGUCGUCAGCUCGUGUCGUGAGAUGUUCCGUUAAGUCGGAUAACGAGCGCAACCCUUACCCUUAUUUGCCAGCGAUUCGGUCGGGAACUAUAAGGGGACUGCCGGUGAUAAACCGGAGGAAGGUGAGGACGACGUCAAGUCAUCAUGGCCCUUACGAGUAGGGCUACACACGUGCUACAAUGGGGAAUACAGACGGACGCUAAGCCGCGAGGUGGUGCUAAUCCCAAAAAACUCCUCGUAGUCCGGAUUGCAGUCUGCAACUCGACUGCAUGAAGUCGGAAUCGCUAGUAAUCGCGAAUCAGCAUGUCGCGGUGAAUACGUUCUCGGGUCUUGUACACACCGCCCGUCACACCAUGGGAGUGUAUUGCACCAGAAGUGGGUAGUCUAACCUUUCGGAGGACGCUCACCACGGUGUGAUCCAUGACUGGGGUGAAGUCAUAACAAGGUAGCCGUA